Molecule: small RNA, 60 nt
Filed under: Sinorhizobium meliloti 2011
Lineage: Bacteria; Pseudomonadati; Pseudomonadota; Alphaproteobacteria; Hyphomicrobiales; Rhizobiaceae
Description: putative ncRNA
Source: RNAcentral
GACAGCAGCGACGAAGGAGAUCGAUGCAUCUGCCUGUCCUCCUGCCGAUCGUAUGAAGCU